RNAcentral lists this unclassified non-coding RNA (331 nucleotides) under soil metagenome. Its description in RNAcentral is "partial contains 5.8S ribosomal RNA, internal transcribed spacer 2, and large subunit ribosomal RNA". The stretch from base 1 to 120 matches the Rfam family "5.8S ribosomal RNA", at positions 35 to 154 of the family's 154-position model. The record is from RNAcentral.
GAUGAAGAACGUAGCGAAAUGCGAUAAGUAGUGUGAAUUGCAGAAUUCAGUGAAUCAUCGAAUCUUUGAACGCACAUUGCGCCCUUUGGUAUUCCUUAGGGCAUGCCUGUUCGAGCGUCAUUUAAACCUUCAAGCUAAGCUUGGUGUUGGGUGACUGUCCGCUUCACUGCGGACUCGCCUCAAAAUUAUUGGCGGCCGGUACAUUGGCUUCGAGCGCAGCAGAAACGCGAACUCGGGCCCGUCGUAUUGGCUCCCAGAAGCUAUCUUCACAAUUUUGACCUCGGAUCAGGUAGGGAUACCCGCUGAACUUAAGCAUAUCAAUAAGCGAGGA